RNAcentral lists this transfer RNA (69 nucleotides) under Epiphyas postvittana. RNAcentral describes it as "tRNA-Ala". It matches the Rfam family "tRNA". Rfam says of the family: Transfer RNA (tRNA) molecules are approximately 80 nucleotides in length. The record is from RNAcentral. Lineage: Eukaryota; Metazoa; Arthropoda; Insecta; Lepidoptera; Tortricidae.
AGGAUAAUAGUUUAUAAUUAAAAACAUUUGACUUGCAUUCAAAAAAUAUUAAAUUUUUAAUUUAUCUUA